Molecule: small RNA, 293 nt
Filed under: Candidatus Ornithobacterium hominis
Lineage: Bacteria; Pseudomonadati; Bacteroidota; Flavobacteriia; Flavobacteriales; Weeksellaceae
Description: 5' ureB small RNA
Rfam family: 5' ureB small RNA
Source: RNAcentral
GUUUCCACAAUAUCUGGCGUGAUAUAAUGAACGUGAGUAUCUAUACCGCCAGCUGUUAGUAUUUUCCCCCAUCCAUUGUGAACUUCUGUUGCAGGGCCUAUAAUCAUUCCUUUUGUAACGCCUUCUUGUGCAUCUGGGUUUCCAGCUUUUCCUAUUCCAGCGAUUUUCCCGUCUUUGAUGCCAAUAUCGGCUUUUACGAUUCCCCAAUGGUCUAUGAUUACUACUCCCAAAAUACACAUAUCUAGACAAUCUUUAUCUAGAGUAGUUACAGAUUGCCCCAUGCCAUCACGCAC